Long non-coding RNA from Ornithodoros turicata, 566 nucleotides. RefSeq lists it as uncharacterized. The record is from RefSeq and is a predicted model, not a curated record. NCBI's taxonomy places the organism in Eukaryota, Metazoa, Arthropoda, Arachnida, Ixodida, Argasidae. The transcript is spliced from 6 exons.
AGGUGGGUUGGGCCUGGAAGAAGAGCCUUCGAAGCCUCAGGAAACCAAGAGGUGGGUUGGGCCUGGAAGAAGAGCCUUCGAAGCCUCAGGAAACCAAGAGUAGUGUUGAGCCUCUAAGAAGAGCCUUCGAAGCCUUACGAGACCAAAACGUUAGUCUGACCUGCUUUCUUGAAAAGCUCCUAUUGAGCUGAAAUUAUACAGACACAAUCAGUAAAAGAAGCUACUUGUGUUGCAGGUGGGUUGGGCCUGGAAGAAGAGUCUUCGAAGCCUCAGGAAAGCAAGAGGUGGAACGAGAGGGACAGUGACCGCAUAAAAUGGACGUCAGGAAACUCCAAGGUGGAACGAGAGGGACAACGACCGCCUAAAUUGGACGUCAGAAAACUCCAAGAUGGAAUUCGAGAGGAACAACGACUACCGAAAUUCGGUCGCUGUAAACAUUGCCAAAAAGGACGGGAUGGUGGUACUUCAAGAACUUCACCGCGGAAGACUCCGUCGGGUGUCAAUUCUUUCGUUAUUCAGUUGCAUUUAAUAUGCGAUUAAAUUUUGUCUCUUUGAUUCAAUGUUUA